UUUCCGUAGGUGAGCCUGCGGAAGGAUCAUUAUUGUAUAACCGAGGUGCGAGGGCUGUCGCUGACCCGAAAGGUCGUGCACGCCCGAGUGCCCUCACACACAUCCAUCUCACCCCUAUGUGCACCACCGCGUGGGUCCCCCUUUGGCUUGUUCGGAGGGGGGCUUACGUUUUCAAACAAACUUUGUAUGCAGUGUAGAAUGUAUUUUUUGUUUUUGCGAUCACGCAAUCAAUACAACUUUCAACAACGGAUCUCUUGGCUCUC
Molecule: unclassified non-coding RNA, 263 nt
Filed under: plant metagenome
Description: partial contains small subunit ribosomal RNA, internal transcribed spacer 1, and 5.8S ribosomal RNA
Source: RNAcentral